RNAcentral lists this ribosomal RNA (492 nucleotides) under uncultured bacterium. RNAcentral describes it as "partial 16S ribosomal RNA". It matches the Rfam family "Bacterial small subunit ribosomal RNA", at positions 29 to 507 of the family's 1533-position model. The record is from RNAcentral.
AGUGAACGCUGGCGGUAGGCCUAACACAUGCAAGUCGAACGGCAGCACAGUAAGAGCUUGCUCUUACGGGUGGCGAGUGGCGGACGGGUGAGGAAUACAUCGGAAUCUACUUUUUCGUGGGUGAUAACGUAGGGAAACUUACGCUAAUACCGCAUACGACCUACGAGUGAAAGCAGGGGAUCUUCGGACCUUGCGCGAUUGAAUGAGCCGAUGUCGGAUUAGCUAGUUGGCGGGGUAAAGGCCCACCAAGGCGACGAUCCGUAGCUGGUCUGAGAGGAUGAUCAGCCACACUGGAACUGAGACACGGUCCAGACUCCUACGGGAGGCAGCAGUGGGGAAUAUUGGACAAUGGGCGCAAGCCUGAUCCAGCCAUACCGCGUGGGUGAAGAAGGCCUUCGGGUUGUAAAGCCCUUUUGUUGGGAAAGAAAAGCAGCAGGUUAAUACCCCGCUGUUCUGACGGUACCCAAAGAAUAAGCACCGGCUAACUUCGUG